CCAAAUGAAGAAGCAGAAGCC
RNAcentral lists this microRNA (21 nucleotides) under Populus trichocarpa (black cottonwood). RNAcentral describes it as "ptc-miR6439a". Lineage: Eukaryota; Viridiplantae; Streptophyta; Magnoliopsida; Malpighiales; Salicaceae. The record is from miRBase by way of RNAcentral.